Molecule: ribosomal RNA, 508 nt
Filed under: uncultured bacterium
Lineage: Bacteria
Description: partial 16S ribosomal RNA
Rfam family: Bacterial small subunit ribosomal RNA
Source: RNAcentral
GAUGAACGCUAGCUACAGGCUUAACACAUGCAAGUCGAGGGGAAACGACAUCGAAAGCUUGCUUUUGAUGGGCGUCGACCGGCGCACGGGUGAGUAACGCGUAUCCAACCUGCCCACCACUUGGUGAUAACCUUGCGAAAGUAAGACUAAUACCCAAUGACGUCUCUAGAAGACAUCGGCAAGAGAUUAAAGAUUUAUCGGUGAUGGAUGGGGAUGCGUCUGAUUAGCUUGUUGGCGGGGUAACGGCCCACCAAGGCGACGAUCAGUAGGGGUUCUGGAAGGAAGGUACCCCACAUUGGAACUGAGACACGGUCCAAACUCCUACGGGAGGCAGCAGUAAGGAGUAUUGGUCAAUGGGCGAGAGCCUGAACCAGCCAAGUAGCGUGCAGGAUGACGGCCCUAUGGGUUGUAAACUGCUUUUAUAAGGGAAUAAAGUGAGUCUCGUGAGACUUUUUGCAUGUACCUUAUGAAUAAGGACCGGCUAAUUCCGUGCCAGCCGCCGCCGUAA